GUCAUAGCUCAGUGGAAGAGCGGGUGCCUUGCAUGUAGAAGGUCCCAGGUUCCAUCCUUGAUUUCUCCUGGUAGGAAUU
Molecule: non-coding RNA, 79 nt
Organism: Podarcis lilfordi (Lilford's wall lizard)
Lineage: Eukaryota; Metazoa; Chordata; Lepidosauria; Squamata; Lacertidae
Source: the annotation of a GenBank genome assembly